Pelobates cultripes (western spadefoot toad) is the source of this 168-nucleotide non-coding RNA. Lineage: Eukaryota; Metazoa; Chordata; Amphibia; Anura; Pelobatidae. The record is from the annotation of a GenBank genome assembly.
GCAGACACAUUCCAGCCAAUCAGCAGCAGACCCUCCCUCCCAGACCCUCCCACCUCCUGGACAGCAUCCAUUUUACAUUCAUUGUGAAGCUGCAUUCUUAGUGAGCUGUCCAGGAGGUGGGAGGGUUUGGGAGGGAGGGUCUGCUGCUGAUUGGCUGGAAUGUGUCUG